This 485-nucleotide ribosomal RNA is filed under the name uncultured bacterium. RNAcentral describes it as "bacterial SSU rRNA". It matches the Rfam family "Bacterial small subunit ribosomal RNA", at positions 28 to 524 of the family's 1533-position model. The record is from RNAcentral.
GAUGAACGCUAGCGGCAGGCUUAAUACAUGCAAGUCAAGGGGCCAGCAAUGGCACCGGCGGACGGGUGAGUAACGCGUACACAACGUACCUUUAACUGGGGGAUAGCAUCUGGAAACGGGUGGUAAUACCGCAUGUGGUUGCGGGGAGGCAUCUCCUUGUAACUAAAACUUUGGUGGUUAGAGAUCGGUGUGCGUCUGAUUAGCUAGUUGGUAGGGUAGAGGCCUACCAAGGCGACGAUCAGUAGGGGGCGUGAGAGCGUGUACCCCCACACGGGUACUGAGACACGGACCCGACUCCUACGGGAGGCAGCAGUAAGGAAUAUUGGUCAAUGGAGGGAACUCUGAACCAGCCAUGCCGCGUGAAGGAAGAAGGCGCUACGCGUUGUAAACUUCUUUUGGGUGGGACGAAAAUAAUCCAUUUAUGGAUAGCUGACGGUACCAUCAGAAUAAGCACCGGCUAACUCCGUGCCAGCAGCCGCGGUAAU